GAUGAACGCUAGCUACAGGCUUAACACAUGCAAGUCGAGGGGUAACGAGAGGGAGGCUUGCUCUCCUUGUCGACGACCGGCGCACGGGUGAGUAACGCGUAUCCAACCUGCCCCCAACUAAGGAAUAACCUUGCGAAAGUAAGACUAAUACCCUAUAAUUUCCUCAGAUGACAUCUGACGAGGAAUAAAGAUUUAUCGGUUGUGGAUGGGGAUGCGUCUGAUUAGCUUGUUGGCGGGGUAACGGCCCACCAAGGCAACGAUCAGUAGGGGUUCUGAGAGGAAGGUCCCCCACAUUGGAACUGAGACCAGGUCCAAACUCCUACGGGAGGCAGCAGUGAGGAAUAUUGGUCAAUGGGCGGAAGCCUGAACCAGCCAAGUAGCGUGCAGGAUGACGGCCCUAUGGGUUGUAAACUGCUUUUAUACAGGAAUAAAGUUAGCCACGUGUGGUUAUUUGUAGGUACUGUAUGAAUAAGGACCGGCUAAUUCCGUGCCAGCCGCCGCGGUAA
Molecule: ribosomal RNA, 506 nt
Filed under: uncultured bacterium
Lineage: Bacteria
Description: partial 16S ribosomal RNA
Rfam family: Bacterial small subunit ribosomal RNA
Source: RNAcentral